RNAcentral lists this unclassified non-coding RNA (267 nucleotides) under uncultured fungus. RNAcentral describes it as "partial contains 5.8S ribosomal RNA, internal transcribed spacer 2, and large subunit ribosomal RNA". Lineage: Eukaryota; Fungi. The record is from RNAcentral.
AACGCACAUUGCGCCCUCUGGCAUUCCGGGGGGCAUGCCUGUCCGAGCGUCAUUUCUGCCCUCCAGCACGGCUGGGUGUUGGGCGCUGUCCCCCCGGGGACACGCCCCAAAAGCAGUGGCGGCGCCGCGUCGGGUCCUCGAGCGUAUGGGGCUUUGUCACCCGCUCGGGAGGGACUCGGUCGGCGCUGGUCUUCCUUUUAGGCAGCCCUUCGGGGUGCGCCUCUUCCGGUUGACCUCGGAUCAGGUAGGAAUACCCGCUGAACUUAA